RNAcentral lists this long non-coding RNA (1627 nucleotides) under Octopus sinensis (East Asian common octopus). RNAcentral describes it as "uncharacterized LOC118767660". The record is from RNAcentral. Lineage: Eukaryota; Metazoa; Mollusca; Cephalopoda; Octopoda; Octopodidae.
AAAUUCACUCACAAGGCUUUGGUCGGCCCGAGGCUAUAGUAGAAGACACUUGCCCAAGGUGCCACACAGUGGGACUGAACCCGGAACCAUGUGAUCGGUAAGCAAGCUACUUACCACACAAACACUUCUGCGCCUACAACUUCGCUUAAACUAUUUAGUAUUUUUAGUAUUUGAUGUCAAAAAUAUUUUGUUGCACCAACUGCGACCCGGUCAUUGGCAUGAUUCCACUUCAUUUUGACUGUGUGUUUGUUUGUCUGAGUCAUUAUCAAACAUUUGUGUAUGCCUAACGAGUUAAUCUAACUGCAAACAUUCAAAUGAUCAAAUUGAUCAGAGAAAUAUGGACAGUGAACUCUAUGAAUUACGACAUUCAGUUUAUAGAUAUAUUAUUGCAGAAGCUUUUCAUAUGAAAAUGUUAUAAAACUAAAAACCUUAGUUGUAAAAUGUAUUUUAGUGUUACAAACAAUAACAGUUGAUCAACAGAAAAAACAUAGCAUUAUUGUAAUACAAUGGUGAGUUCAUAGAGCAGAGAAAUACAGUAUUUAGUAUUUAGUUUCAUUCUUCUAUAUUUUGAGUUCAAACACUACCAGUAUUAAUUUUGGUUUUUAUCUUCCUGGGGUUGCAAAAUUAUGUUCAAAUUUUAAAUUCAAAUCUUUGUUUCAAACCUUGUUAGUUCAGGAAUGAUAACAUUACAGUUCAAAUAGAUAAAUUUUUGCGUCUUUAAUUAAGUUGAAAGUUAGUCUUCGUUAUUUCAAAAAUCAAAACUACAGAGGCAGAACAUAUUCUUGUUAGCCUUUUAACUGUGAAAUUAAAUUUCAUGAUUAUUCUAGUAAAUGAUAUAAAAUAUCUGUGAAAGAAGAAUUGCCUUUGUAAACUAUCACAACAAAAAAUAGUUUCAAGCGUAACAUUCUUCAACAAAAGAUAGAUUGGUGAAUAAAACUACUUUCUGCAGUUAGGGAUAAUGAAAUUUUGAGUGGAUAUAUCUGAUUUCUGCAGUAAAAGGGUUAAAGUAAAAAUAGGAGACAUUGGAUCAUGUCUUGAAUUUAGUGUAACUAGUAAAAAAAAAAAAGUAAGACAGUCAUGGUUGGACUGUCUUUGAUCACAGGUUUGACAAAUUUCCUUAACCCAUUUACUGCAAAAUUAAAUUUCAGGGUUAUUCCAGUAAUGAUGUUAAAUAUCUACCAAAAAUCAGAAUUGUUAUUUUCUGCAAAUCCCAUUGCCUCAACAUACUUGGCAUAUUUCAAUGGAAAAUAGUUUCAAACAUGAUAUUCCUUAACAAAAGAUAGCUUGGUAUAUAAAUUUGCUUUCUGCAGUUAGGGAUAAUGAAAUUUUGAGUGGAGAUAUCUGACAUCUGCAGUGAAAGGGUUAAAAUACAAUGGCAAAGAGGUUAAUCUGAGAGUGUGGAAAAGAGAUGGAAUUUUAAUAAUUGAUUUUGAAUGUGAUAUUAUUUUGCCUUUAAUUUGUAAUUUGUUGUUAAUAAAUGUUUAUUCUGUUAAAACGGUAUCUGACUUUAAGAUGAAAACAAAUUGAACGUUAAGACAUAUUUUGAAAAACCAUAUUACAUUUAACAUUAAUAAAUCAAGUUAAAUCAUUCCUUACUCUGUGAUGGAAUCAACCAGAGUCAACUAUU